Molecule: ribosomal RNA, 350 nt
Filed under: uncultured bacterium
Lineage: Bacteria
Description: bacterial SSU rRNA
Rfam family: Bacterial small subunit ribosomal RNA
Source: RNAcentral
GACGAACGCUGGCGGUGCCCCUUAUGCAUGCAAGUCGAGCGCACCUUCGGGUGAGCGGCGGACGGGUGAGUAACGCGUGGGAAUGUGCCCUUCUCUACGGAAUAGCCACUGGAAACGGUGAGUAAUACCGUAUACGCCCUCAGGGGGAAAGAUUUAUCGGAGAAGGAUCGGCCCGCGUUAGAUUAGGUAGUUGGUGGGGUAACGGCCUACCAAGCCUACGAUCUAUAGCUGGUUUUAGAGGAUGAUCAGCAACACUGGGACUGAGACACGGCCCAGACUCCUACGGGAGGCAGCAGUGGGGAAUCUUAGACAAUGGGGGCAACCCUGAUCUAGCCAUGCCGCGUGAGUGA